UACGUAGGGGGCGAGCGUUAUCCGGAUUCAUUGGGCGUAAAGCGCUUUAAGGCGGUUCGCUAAGUCGGGUGUGAAACCUCCAGGCUCAACCUGGAGACGCCACUCGAUACUGGCGUGACUAGAGUUCGGUAGGGGACCACGGAAUUCCGGGUGUAGCGGUGGAAUGCGUAGAGAUCCGGAAGAACACCGGUGGCGAAGGCGGCCUGCUGGGCAGUUGCUGACACUGAGGCGCGACAGCGUGGGGAGCAAACAGG
This 254-nucleotide ribosomal RNA is filed under the name uncultured bacterium. RNAcentral's name for it is "partial 16S ribosomal RNA". It matches the Rfam family "Bacterial small subunit ribosomal RNA", at positions 524 to 776 of the family's 1533-position model. The record is from RNAcentral.